UACGUAGGGCGCAAGCAUUGUCCGGAAUUAUUGGGCGUAAAGAGCUCGUAGGCGGCUUGUCACGUCGGGUGUGAAAGCCCGGGGCUUAACCCCGGGUCUGCAUUCGAUACGGGCAGGCUGGAGUUCGGUAGGGGAGAUCGGAAUUCCUGGUGUAGCGGUGAAAUGCGCAGAUAUCAGGAAGAACACCGGUGGCGAAGGCGGCUCGCUGGGCCAGUUCUGACACUCAUCCGCGAAAGCGUGGGGAGCAAACAGG
Molecule: ribosomal RNA, 253 nt
Filed under: uncultured bacterium
Lineage: Bacteria
Description: partial 16S ribosomal RNA
Rfam family: Bacterial small subunit ribosomal RNA
Source: RNAcentral